GCCUUUGUGGCGCAAUUGGUUAGCGCGUGAGACUUUUAAGCAAUUGCUUUGGUCACUCACCAAUCUCAAGGUUGCGGGUUCGAGUCCCGCCAAAGGCU
This is a non-coding RNA of Tulasnella sp. 419, 98 nucleotides long. The record is from the annotation of a GenBank genome assembly. NCBI's taxonomy places the organism in Eukaryota, Fungi, Basidiomycota, Agaricomycetes, Cantharellales, Tulasnellaceae.